ACCCUGUGAGCUUAAGUCUCAUUAACAUGAGCCAAUCUCCAAUGCUCCUGUCCAGUCUUCUUUAAGCCCCACUGCUCUAAUCACCUAAGGAAAUAAGUGAUUCUCGAAUUUUAAGGACCAUGAGGGAUCCAUUAUGUCUUAGAUGAGCCCAGGAAUCUACUUACUUAAGGGUUAUCCUCUAACGCUGGUGAUCUCUUGGAGGAACACAGACAUGGGAGCCACUGGAGGGAGGGGUGAUGGAACUGUUCUUUCCAACUGACACAAGACCUUGGACUUUUCCAGUUACAUUCUCCACCCCUGUGUCAAAGCAAGUAAGUGCAAGGAAAUUUGUUUCAUAGACUGACUAGGGUGAGAAUUCUUCCAAUACGCUGAGCCAGAUGACCGGCUUAGGCCUGAGCUCAUCCUUCUGGCUGUACAUUUGCACAUCUGUAUAUCUGGGAAACACAGGAAUGAGCUAAAGUGGAACAAGAUACCAGGAGACUCCAGGAAGAUUGGGUCUUCUAGAAAGCUUUCCCUGCAGCCUAAUGGAAAGAGUUCCUUUGGACAGGAGACAAGAAAGCUCGGAGGAUUCUCCCUGAAGAACGUUCUCUGACACAGUUCCAGUAUUUAAUGAGAAGAAUUAACUUGGUACAAUACUUCACACUUGAUGGAACUGCCAAGAGAAUUAAUAAGUACAAUCCAGUUGGAAAAUGCAUUACAAAGCACGCAUUUGGGACGUCAUCACACAUGCCAGCUGAAGACUGAGCCUUUGUGACAUGAAAUAAAGUGACAAAUGCAAGUGGUAGAUCCACGAUCUCAA
This 799-nucleotide long non-coding RNA is filed under the name Mus musculus (house mouse). RNAcentral describes it as "predicted gene, 31254 (Gm31254)". The record is from RNAcentral. Lineage: Eukaryota; Metazoa; Chordata; Mammalia; Rodentia; Muridae.